Molecule: long non-coding RNA, 598 nt
Organism: Populus euphratica (Euphrates poplar)
Lineage: Eukaryota; Viridiplantae; Streptophyta; Magnoliopsida; Malpighiales; Salicaceae
Exons: 3
Source: RefSeq, a predicted model, not a curated record
AGCCAUGCCAGGCCCUCAGCUAAGUCGCAACAAACACAAUUCCAAUCCUUUUACAGGUGGACGGACGGCGUUAGUUCCUCUGCUUUUCCCUUUUUCUGUUGAUAGCGGAGAGCUAAUGAUUCACAUGAGCUUUGAAAGGAGUUUCAUAAGUGCUCAAUUCAACUCAUCUAGACCAAGACUCAAUUCCAAACUAGCUGGGGCUGACUUCAAGGAUCCACUCCCCCCUUUCCUCCAUUUUGUUCUGUUAUGAGCUAAACACUUGAUAAAAUGAAUUGGACUCUCCCCGUGAAUUAAAUGUGGACAGUGCAUUUUUCUUCGUCUGUAAAAGUGAAAAAUAUGUAGAUUUCUUUCUCUUUUGCAAAGAGGAAGAGAAAAGGAAAUAAAUAGUAAAACACAACUUAUUUUUUCACUUGCCAAACUAAAAUUUCUCGCAUUAAUAUCUACCUCAACCUCCAGUUUUUAUCAUUUCAAUAAAUGUACCCAAGAAAAAAGACAUCCAAAAAAUGAUAUUGAAGAUGAAAAAAGAAUAAAUUAAAGGCAAAUUCACACAGUUCUCUGCAUAAUAGCUGCUUGUGUUGGUGGGAAAAGGAAGCAGAAA